This 253-nucleotide ribosomal RNA is filed under the name uncultured bacterium. Its description in RNAcentral is "partial 16S ribosomal RNA". It matches the Rfam family "Bacterial small subunit ribosomal RNA", at positions 524 to 776 of the family's 1533-position model. The record is from RNAcentral.
UACGGAGGGGGCUAGCGUUGUUCGGAAUUACUGGGCGUAAAGCGCACGUAGGCGGACUGAUCAGUCAGGGGUGAAAUCCCGGGGCUCAACCCCGGAACUGCCUUUGAAACUGCAGUGCUAGAAUCCUGGAGAGGCGAGUGGAAUUCCGAGUGUAGAGGUGAAAUUCGUAGAUAUUCGGAAGAACACCAGUGGCGAAGGCGACUCGCUGGACAGGUAUUGACGCUGAGGUGCGAAAGCGUGGGGAGCAAACAGG